UAUAUAUUCAAAAUAAUCACUGGAAAUAUAAGAAAAAGAUGCUGAAUGAACAUAAUUUCAUCAUUCCAAUAAAAGAGAAAUAACCGUAUAUAUCCCAUAAUAACGACAUUUUCUGAAAUAGGAAAAGUAGUGACUUUUGUCCAGAUCAGAACCUAUCUAAUGCGGAAAUAUCUAAUAUGAUUGAAUGAUUACAAAUUGUCUCCAAAUUGAACAGGAAACGAAAUGUACUAGGAAGAAAUGAAGAGAGUGACUUUCAUGUUGAGAUGUUGGGAGAAACCUUGAAACUAUGAAUCAUUUAUCAAAAUAGAGUGUUAUAGGCUAAAUGAUUGAAAAAUAAUCGGAAUAUAUUGGUUCCUAUAAUCCUAUUGAAUUCUUAGAAACCUAGAUGAAUCG
Harmonia axyridis is the source of this 393-nucleotide long non-coding RNA. RefSeq lists it as uncharacterized. NCBI's taxonomy places the organism in Eukaryota, Metazoa, Arthropoda, Insecta, Coleoptera, Coccinellidae. The record is from RefSeq and is a predicted model, not a curated record. The transcript has 4 exons.